Long non-coding RNA from Teleopsis dalmanni, 1341 nucleotides. RefSeq lists it as uncharacterized. The record is from RefSeq and is a predicted model, not a curated record. Lineage: Eukaryota; Metazoa; Arthropoda; Insecta; Diptera; Diopsidae. The transcript has 3 exons.
GACUAUGCAGUUCUCUUUAGAUCUAGAUAAGCUUGUGUAGAUGGAAGAAAUAGAAUUUUCGCAUUGAGAUGCGGCACUAACGUGGUAGUCCAAGUAUUUUUGCUGCAUAUUGGGCCCCACCAGUGAGUUGUGGUGAUGAACUACAAAGACGUUACAAUAGAAUAGAAUAUGACCUCUGAGUACUAACUUAAGGUUGGUGAAUAUGUAUUUAUUGUAUAUCAUUGAGAUUCUGAAAAUAAAUUUUAUCAAGUAUUUUAUCAAGCAGAUUUUAUUAUUGGGUGUGGUCUAUGACAAGAAGCUUAAUAUGGAAAUGUAUGGUGAAAAUAAUAUUUUCAAACUUUUAACAUGAUUUUGUUCAUCGAUCCACAUUAGCUACAGUUCGUACAAAUGAAAAAUUUAUAUUGCUGCAUUUGGGUGUUUCUGUCUUAUCAACCAAACUAUUUCAAUGGACUUCAAUGGAUGUAAAAACAAAAAUGUUGGAAAAUAGAAAAAGUUGAACUAAUAUUUAUGCAAAUUCGCUUUAUCGCCAAAAAACAUAAGCGCCUUGAGCACAUAAAUUAUGCAAAUCCGCUGUUACAAAUUUAAAGUUAUGUGCGAAGUGCGGAGUCCUUCGGAGUUUCGGAAGGAGUUUCAGUGGAAAUGUUAUUUUUAUAAUUUAUACGGAUUUAAAUGAUAGUUGUGGGGAAAUCAUAGAAACCAGGACAUAUCGAAAGGAUUUUUGUUAAAAACACGAACAGUGAUUGAUAAAAGGUUUUAAAAAAAUUUUUACUACUCGAAACAAAGAUUUGUAUUAAGUGCCUUACUAAAAAUUUCGUAAUUUCAAAAGUAAACGCUUGUGUUUUAGAUAACAUCAAAUUUUGUCUUAAUAUUAUAUAUUCUUUGAAUCAUGCCAUUAGGUAUGAAAGACAAUAUCCCAUGGAGCAUACGGGUACUGAAUAUUUUUGAGUUAAUAUUUAAUGGCUUAUUGUCUCAUACCUAGCAAUAACUCUGACAUUAAUUGACUCAUAUUCAUUUUCAAAACAUCGAGAGUUGGAGGAUUGUUCACAUAAACGGAAUCGUUUGAAUAAACCCAGAGAAAAAGUAAAAUAGUCAUAAAUCGGAUAAUCUUAAUGGUUAAUUCAGAUCAUCAAAAUAAGAAACUGUGGUCCAGGACCUGAUCUGUGUCUUAUGACUUAUCAACAUCACUUAUAAGUUAUAACUUAUAACUUCUACAUCCAUGUCAUUAAAACACUUAUCAUGCGGAUGUGUAUAUGAAUAUACGAUUACUUUAAUGAAAGUUUUGCUUGAUAUGUGUUAUUGAAACAAUGUUGCUAGAUCAGGAUUGAAUAACCUGUUACAUUG